Molecule: ribosomal RNA, 492 nt
Filed under: uncultured bacterium
Lineage: Bacteria
Description: partial 16S ribosomal RNA
Rfam family: Bacterial small subunit ribosomal RNA
Source: RNAcentral
AGUGAACGCUGGCGGUAGGCCUAACACAUGCAAGUCGAACGGCAGCACAGUAAGAGCUUGCUCUUACGGGUGGCGAGUGGCGGACGGGUGAGGAAUACAUAGGCAUCUACUUUUUCGUGGGGGAUAACGUAGGGAAACUUACGCUAAUACCGCAUACGACCUACGGGUGAAAGCAGGGGAUCUUCGGACCUUGCGCGAUUGAAUGAGCCGAUGUCGGAUUAGCUAGUUGGCGGGGUAAAGGCCCACCAAGGCGACGAUCCGUAGCUGGUCUGAGAGGAUGAUCAGCCACACUGGAACUGAGACACGGUCCAGACUCCUACGGGAGGCAGCAGUGGGGAAUAUUGGACAAUGGGCGCAAGCCUGAUCCAGCCAUACCGCGUGAGUGAAGAAGGCCUUCGGGUUGUAAAGCCCUUUUGUUGGGAAAGAAAAUCAGCAGGUUAAUACCCCGCUGUUCUGACGGUACCCAAAGAAUAAGCACCGGCUAACUUCGUG